This 61-nucleotide transfer RNA is filed under the name Mesobuthus eupeus (lesser Asian scorpion). Its description in RNAcentral is "tRNA-Asn". The record is from RNAcentral. Lineage: Eukaryota; Metazoa; Arthropoda; Arachnida; Scorpiones; Buthidae.
UUAAUUAAAGCUUUUAGGAAGCGUUCCAUUGUUACUGGAAAGAAAGGUAGACUUAAUUAAA